RNAcentral lists this ribosomal RNA (407 nucleotides) under uncultured bacterium. RNAcentral describes it as "bacterial SSU rRNA". It matches the Rfam family "Bacterial small subunit ribosomal RNA", at positions 355 to 776 of the family's 1533-position model. The record is from RNAcentral.
UGGGGAAUAUUGGUCAAUGGAGGAAACUCUGAACCAGCAACGCCGCGUGAAUGAUGAAGGUCUUCGGAUUGUAAAGUUCUUUUCUAAGGGAAGAAGAAAGUGACGGUACCUUAGGAAUAAGCCUCGGCUAACUACGUGCCAGCAGCCGCGGUAAUACGUAGGAGGCGAGCGUUAUCCGGAAUGACUGGGCGUAAAGGGUGCGUAGGUGGUUUGACAAGUUGGUAGCGUAACUCCGAGGCUCAACCUCGGCACUACUACCAAAACUGUCGGACUUGAGUGCAGGAGGGGCAAUUGGAAUUCCUAGUGUAGCGGUGGAAUGCGCAGAUAUUAGGAGGAACACCGGUGGCGAAGGCGAAUUGCUGGACUGUAACUGACACUGAGGCACGAAAGCGUGGGGAGCAAACAGG